CGGGGAAACUCGGAUUAACACUUCAUAGUAUCAUUGGAAGGCAUCUUUUGGUGAUUAAAACUGAGGUGGUUUUGGAUGGGCAUGCGUCUGAUUAGCUAGUUGGUGGUGUAACGGACCACCAAGGCGAUGAUCAGUAGGGGACCUGAGAGGGUGAUCCCCCACACUGGCACUGAGAUACGGGCCAGACUCCUACGGGAGGCAGCAGUAGGGAAUAUUGGUCAAUGGAUGGAAGUCUGAACCAGCCAUGCCGCGUGCAGGAAGAAGGCCUUCUGGGUUGUAAACUGCUUUUGCCAGGGGCUAAAAGGCCGGUGCGCCGGAAAUUGAAAGUACCUGGUGAAUAAGCCACGGCUAACUACGUGCCAGCAGCCGCGGUAAUACGUAGGUGGCAAGCGUUGUCCGGAUUUAUUGGGUUUAAAGGGUGCGUAGGCGGCUUAUUAAGUCAGUGGUGAAAUAUCGCAGCUUAACUGUGAGGGUGCCAUUGAUACUGAUGAGCUUGAGUACAGAUGAGGUAGGCGGAAUUGACGGUGUAGCGGUGAAAUGCAUAGAUAUCGUCAAGAACACCUAUAGCGAAGGCAGCUUACUAAGCUGUAACUGACGCUGAGGCACGAAAGUGUGGGGAUCAAACAGGAUUAGAUACCCUGGUAGUCCACACUG
Molecule: ribosomal RNA, 654 nt
Filed under: uncultured bacterium
Lineage: Bacteria
Description: bacterial SSU rRNA
Rfam family: Bacterial small subunit ribosomal RNA
Source: RNAcentral